Molecule: long non-coding RNA, 8262 nt
Organism: Meriones unguiculatus (Mongolian gerbil)
Lineage: Eukaryota; Metazoa; Chordata; Mammalia; Rodentia; Muridae
Exons: 8
Source: RefSeq, a predicted model, not a curated record
CCAUCCUCUGAUCACCCCUGGGUGAUCUGCUGUGUCCUCAUUAAUGAGCUCAGGAUUGUCCUAAAAGGGUGGGUUUCCAGAAUAAGCCCCGCAGAGUAUCUAAGGACUCCUCAGCUCCUUGGGACAGGCAAUGUUCAGACAGCCUAUCAUUGUAAAGGUUUGCAGCCCUGGCCAGGGAGGCUGGGCCCCUGUGAGACCUUUUGCUAUACUUGAUGUGGUGGUUUGAACAGGUUUGGCCCCCAUAGAUUCCUGUGUUUGAAUGCUUGGUCCAUAGGGAGUGGCACUAUUAGGAAGUGUGGCCUUGUUGGAGUAGGUGUGGCCUCUCUGGAGGAAGUAUGACACUGUAGGGGUGGGCUUUGAGGCUAUAUAUGCUCAAGCUAUGUCCAGUGUGGCUCACAGUCUCCUUCUGCUGUCUGUGGAUCAACAAGUAGAACUCUCAGCUCCUUCUCCAGCACCAUGUCUGCCUGCAUGCUGCCAUGUUUCCCACCAUAGUGAUAAUAAACUAAACCUCUGAACCCAUAAGCCAGCCCCAAUUAAAUGCUCUCCUUUUUUAGAGUUGCCGUGAACACGAUGUCUCAUCACAGCAAUGGAAACCCUAAGUUUAAGUAGUGGCCGAGCAGGGGUAGUAGGAGCCUGAGUGAAGGAGGCUGGAAGAAAAUGGCUUUGGAGCUGAGCCACUGGCUCUGCUCCCGGGGAAGGCAUGUGCACCUGUUCUAACAUCUCAUUUUCCCCAGAAAGAUGGAACAGGGUUUUUUUUUUGGGGGGGUGUGUGUAUGACAGGUGUUCUGUGUACAGCAAAUGUAGAAAUGUUAUCCCAGCCAGCUGGAGCAAUGUCAUAAUGGGGACCCAGGUGAGGUUGAGAACGGCAGGAAACACUGAGUUUCCCUGCAGCAAAAGGGCUUGCCUGGGAGGAGUGCAAAUGAAGAAGUGAGGAUGAGGACCCUGUCCCUGGAGGGGACAGGAUGUUGCUUCUGGAGACAAAGCACCCAUCUCAAUUCUGUAACAGGAUCAGAUAUAAAUCACAGAUCUGCAUAAUGAGAAGAUAUAGUACAUUAGAGAAAUGCAAACUGGACACUACACUCUGACGUCAAACUAGUAAGUGGAGGAAGAGGGACUUGGGGAAUCUCCAGCUUCAGUUCUAAGCGGCUUUCAGGUUUGGACAGCAGCUGGCUAUGGGAGGGGUUCAUCGGGCACCCUUGGGCCCAGGCUCUGGCCUGUGAGUGUGUCACUUGGCUUAUAGGCUGUGUGGCCCUCCUGAAGUCUGCACCCUUUCUGAACCUUGCUCAUCCUUAGGUCACAGCAUAGAGAAGCUCCGGCCAGUGGCAUCCCAGUUCCCUGCCCUUUCUACCUCCCUGUCCCUCAUUCUCAGGCCCUAUUGUCCUCCCAUGAGACAAAGCUAAGGGCAGCUGAAGGACCCCUUCUCCCCCCCCAAGGGUCACUUACAGGGUCUUCAGCACAGAGCAGAGGUCACUAGCGCCAUCAAAGAUGAUAACUGUGGUUGAGUGUAGAACCUGCCCCCCCAUGUCACCACUGACAUUAUGGGCAAAUGAUGUGACGCUCCUGCCUGAGAGACACAAGCAGUAGGCAUGCUGAGUGCCAGGGGAACCUCUCUGUAGCCAGGGCAGCCUUGGCUGCUGCCUGCAACCUUAGGAGCAGCCAGGACACGGGCCACAGGAUCCAAACAGGAUCACCCUGCAUGCACACUUCCUGCAGAGGGCAUGGGUGUACAUGAGGCAGCUGGCUAGCGAGCCAGGCAGGAAGGUCAGGAGCUGAAGGGGUCCUGAGAAACGACAUGAGACACAGCCCAUCACUCCAAGGCCUCGCUCCACUCCGGGGCAUCCGGCAAGUGUCUUGUGUUGGAGCGGCAUCUCCUCCUGGGGCUCCCCCUACCCUUGGAGCAUCCUCUUCCUUGGCCCAGCCACAACCUGUCAACCUGCCUGUGGACUGUAUAAUACGUGGCCACGUGUGUCUGGCAUCCUUCACUUUUGCAGUGUUUUCCAGGUCUAUGUGUGUUGUAGCAGGUGUCAGCAUCCUUCAUUGGGACUGAAGGUAGCCGACCCUCUGAAUCCACAGGACCCUGGCUCCAGACCCCAUGGCUCUGUCUGUGGAUGGGGAGUCUCUCGUAUAAAAGGUACUGUACAGAUUAUGAACAUUGCACACCAUUUCCUUACUGUCUCUUUAGAUUAUCGCCAGAAGAGAGCCACCCGAAUGGUCACACGGUUUAGGGAGUAUGUGCCAUAAACAUGACAAGCACUGCAGCCUGAGUACACAGAGCAUGUCAGCAGCAGUUAGCUGAAUCCCAGAUGUUGAAACUGUGGAUACAGGAGACCAGGGCCAUCUCUGAUGGGGACCGUGUGUGCUAGUCAUAUCAAGUUUUGUCAGCUUGAUACAAGCUAGAGUCACUGGGAAGAGGACCCUCAACUGAGGAACUGCCUAGAUAAGACUGGCCUGUGAACGAGUUGGUAAUUGUCUUGAUUGCUAAUGGGUGUAGGAGGGCCCAGCUGACUGUGGGCAGUGUCAUUCCCUAGGCAGGUCGUGUUGGGCUUUAUGAGAAAGCCAGUUGAGCAAGCCAGUAAGCAGCUUUGCUCUGUGCUUUCUGCCUUGAUUUUUCUCAUUGAUGAACUGUGACCUGGAAAUGUAAGCAAAAAAAAAAAAAAAAACCAACAACAAAACAAAAAACAAAAACAAAACACAAACAAAAACACAAAAAAACAAACAAAACGAAAGCCACUUUCCUCUCCAAGUUGCUUUUGGUCAAAGUGUUUUAUUACAGAAAAGAAAGAAAACUAGGACACCUUGGGUAUGGGGACCCAGGGCUGCUGUGCUAGUCUGCUGUAGGAUUUUAUCUGGUCAUGGGCUGCUCCACCCUAGAGUUCGCCCCAUGAAUGCUGCGUCAGGUGUCUAUCUCAAAUAGCCUGUGGGUGUUGCGUGUGGGGUAAAGUGUGUGCACCUGGAGGGCAGAGCAGGACUUCCAGUAUCUUUCUUUUUUGUUCUUCGCCUCACUUUUUGAGACAGGCUCUCUCACAGAACCAGAAGCUCGCUGUGUCAGCUAGGCUGGCUUGCUGUGUCAGCUAAUGAGUUCUUAGUCUCUGCCCAUCCUGGUACCAGGCACCUUCCCUCCACAAUACAGGAGUUGCAUGCAUUCACGGCCAUGCUUUAACAUGAGUUUUGGGGAUUUGACCUCGGUUCCUCAUGCUUGCUUAGCAAAUGUUCUACCCAAAGAGCAUCCUCCCUGCCCAGCUCAGUGUCUUCUGUGUAUACAGGAGCAGACUCGCUGGGUUAUUUGAACUAUUAGAACUAUUGUCAUGAACUAUUUGAGGAAGCAGGCACAGAUAUUGACAGGACUCUGGAGCUGUUCUCCCAAGACAUCGAUGCUGUGGUGUGGGGCCAGGCACAGGAUUGUGGGUCACAGGCUCUGUAUUUGGAUCUCCUUGAGGUACUACCAUGCCGUGUGACCUUGGUGAGUGUGUCUGUGUCCCUCUCUGUGUCUGUGUGUGUCUCCUUCUGGACACACCAGAUCUGGUGAGCACAAUGGGUGAUGGCGCGUGGCAGGAGCUUGGGUCUGUGUCUGGCUAGAGUGUAAAUGUAGUGGACCCAGAAGAAUCUGUUGAGGAACAUUGCCUCAGAGCCUGUCCCCACCCCUCCCAACAGGGAAGAUCCUGAAGCCUUCCUGCACAGUGCUGCACUUUGGAGGGGGACUUGGGCAAAGUGUGGCACGUGGAAGAGCUGUGAUGUACUCUGCUACGUGAGGGCCCUCAGCUGUACCCCCAAAGCAGUGGCCCCCCUCACUUAUCAAGCAGCUGAACUGAGUGGAAAAGCAGCGGCCUUGGGCCAGGAGGGCGCUAUCUCCUCAGGCUGCUGGUGCCAGCAGGAGCCUUCCCUGCACUGAUCCAGGAGCGGGCUUCGUUGGUUUGUGAGCGGCUGGCAUCUGAAUGUGAGGAGGCCAGAGGGAAACCUGCUGCUUUCCUUGAGGGUCGAGGCUUCUGUGAGUCUUUCCUGACGUGGACUGGACCCUUUCUGCUCAGAAAGCAGCGUGGAAUGCCCAGAACUGAAGUUCCAAACAGCAUCUUAAGGGCAGAAUCUGACUGAUAGGUGAGCAUGAAGUGGCCGUUCUGUCCCUGCCCCCCCCCCCACACCUGGCACGGAGAUCUGGGAGAGCGCUUCAGGCUGGCUCAGUGCAUCAACCUUGACGUGUCGGAAGGCCUUGCCCACAGGGCUCUGCAGGUGCCUGCAAGCCGGGAGCACAGGGCAAUGGGAGCUGGAGACACCAGGGACCACGACAACUUGACUCCGAUGGACAGCCACCGUGCUACCUAGCUCACCAUGGCCCACACAGAGAGCAGGAUUUAAGAGGCAUUUAAAACACCUGGUAUAGGGGGCGGGGGAGAUAGCUCAGCUGCACAUGACUCUGAAAACCUAAGUUCGACUCCCAGAAUCCGUGUGAAAACAAAACAAAAUGUCAGAUCCGGUCUCAAGAUAAUCAAUAUGGGAGCCAGAAAGAUGGCUCAGAGAUAAAGGUGCUUGAAACAGAGCCCGAUGCCCCAGGUUUGAUUCCCAGAACCUACACAAUGAAGGAGAGAACUCUGGCAAGUUAGCCCCUGGCCUUGUGCUGGCUAGUUUUUAUGUCAACUUGACACCAGCUAGGGCAGCUGAGAGGAGGGAGCUGCAGCUGAGAAAAUGCCUCUAUAGUCUAUGGCCAUACCACCCUGAACACGCCUGAUCUCGAAAGCUAAGCAGGGUCAGGCCUGGCUAGUUUUCUCCUUAGAUGGGAGAAAACACCUCUAUAAUGCAGGCAACCCUUUAGGGCGUUUUCUUAGUGAUUGAUGGGGGAGGUGUCAUCCCCGGGGCUAGUGGUCCUGCAUCCUAUGAGAAAGCAGGCUGAGCAAGCCAUGAGGAGCAAGCCAGUAAGCAGCACCCCUUCCUGGCUUCUGCAUCAGCUCCAGCCUCCAUGUUCCUGCCCUGUUUGAAUCCCUCCCCCGACUUCCUUUUAUGAUGAACAGUGAUAUGAAGUGCAAAUGAAACUAACCCUUUCCUCCUCAAGUGGCUUUGGCUAUGGUGUUCCAUCGCAGCAAUAGAAACCUAACUAAGGCAGACCCCACACACUCUAACCCGAUACAUACACACACAGAAGCUGGACACUCAACUCAGGAACAACACUCAAGACUGACCUCUGACCUACAGACACACCUAUACAGAUGUUCACACUCAAAACACCUGGUUUUCAAACCAAAGCACCCAGCCUGUGCAGGACUCACUUUUCUGCCUCUUUCAAUCCUUAAGACAACCCCAGGAAGCCCAAACCUGGGCUGAUAAGAGGAAAUUGAAGCUCAGGGAGGUACUGUUCCAGACUGAAUGACCUGCAGCUCAGGUAUGUCCCUUGAGCGACCUGGGAUGUCACUCCAUCUUAGAUGGUGCAGAUCCUGGUGGCUGGGGCAGCAGUGUGACCGUGUAAGCCCACACAUUGCUGUCCUUGUCCCCACCAGCUCCUCUAAGCCCCUGGCUGCCUUUCUUUCCCACACGUGGCAGAAAUGUCCCUGAAUCCCUCAAGGAGGUGACUCUCUUUCAGACGAAGGCUGUGUGAUUCCAGGUCAAGCCAUUCAAGAGAAGCAAGGACUACCACUGCCGCCUCAUCCUUAGCUCAUGAUAUGCCAGCCUAGAAUCUGCACGCAGAGCUCAGGGCUCUGGCUGAGUGGAUGGGGGUGCCUGCCAGCCAUGGCCCUAUGGCAGGCAGGUACCUUCUCUGGACUCUACAGGCACAGCAAAGGUUACCACAGACAGCUGGGCCCAUAGGACUGUGGCUACCACAGGAUGAUGGAGCCUUUGCCUGGCUGAAGAUGGCUUCUCACGAGGAAGGCACAGCAGGGCAGGCUUGGGUCUCUGAAGCCGAGUGUGAACCAGAACGGCCUCAGCCAGGACAUCAUUCCUUUCACCCUCCCAACACACCGCCUGCUUGACGGCUCUCCCCCCUACAAGGCCACCACCAAGCACUGCAGAAAGCCAUCCUCACUUACUGGAAGCAGUUUCUUUCUCCAGCGGUGCCCCGGAGGUACUGUCGCAGGGAGUCCAGGAACUCGCUCAGCUGCUCAGGGCACACGGCCAUUUCCUGCCUGACCAGCUGCAGGUGCUGUGAGCCAAAGUGGGAGUGAACAUGUGUGCUGGGCCCUUACCCAGCCACGGGAGCACAGUUCAAAUCCCGGCAGCCUAUGCCUUGCUUCUGAGAGGUCAAGACCAUGGGGUCAAAAUAAAACCUCCACAUGUCUUAUUCUUACACGUGCAAGUCAGCUAAAGGCCAAAUGGGUAAAGUCCCUGUGGGGCCCCACAAACAGGGCAGUAAGAAGGCUGAAGGGCCCCACCGAGAGGCACAGCCGGUGGCCAGCAGGCUACCUUUCCGACCAAAAACACACAGCCUGAUGACAGAGCGGGCCAGAUGCUUGCUCCACACCAGGCCAAAUGUUUUUUUAUUUUUUAUUUUUUUCUCAGAGUCCCAGAGCCAAGGCUCACCGUGUCCCUUGGGGAGGGGAGGGCAGAGAAGGAUAGCCAGAGACAUGGAGCUACAACACUCCUCAGAAGGCUGGAAGGACAGAGUGGGCACCUCAACAAUCACAGCCUCAGAGCCUGUCUGCCCUGCCAACCGGCGUCCACAUACGCGUGCAAAAGGCCCAUCCCGUUAAAGAAAGCAGCAAGAAAGCAGCGGCAGGGCCUCUGUGAUUCAGUGGCCUCUGAAUCACAUCCCCAGCCUUGACCGACUUCUUGCCCACACAUCUCAAGAAAGUGCUCCGCGGACAAGCCGUGUUCAAGCUCCUUUCUAUCACUUAACGGGCACACGGGGCUGCUCCUGGAAGGCUGGGGGUCCCACCAGGAACCCUUUGGCCUCUCCGUAGUCAGACGGAGAACCCAGCAGUACUCAGACCUGCUGCCCUGCCGGACCAGCUGGGGGCGGAGCCUGGAGCUGGCUUGAACUGGCCCCAUGUUUGUGCUUAGGCCAAUCAGAGACCUCGGAGGACCCCGCCCCAUCUCCAGAACGCCUAGGUGCUCCUGGUUACCAGCAAGCCUGGUUGUUAGGGCGACCGGGGUGCUAAAAAUAAACUUCAAAGCGCCUCCCUCCUGGGGCCCCCACUGAGUUGUUAUGACAACCGGGCACAAGGUCCCCACCGCGCUGCUCUCACCCCGGGCAGCCGGCUUAAAAGGGGCGUGGGAGGGGGGACCCCUGCUUCUGCCACAGUCCUGCAGCUGGCGGGGCCGUAUUGUCUUCCCUCCCGUCGGAUAGCAUCCCAGUGAGAAGGCCCAUGCUUCAUCCCCACCUCACCCCCCAGUCCCGCAGAACGAACACCCAAGCCCCGCUAAGCACCAGCGCUCGUUGCAAAAGAAAUACAGAAAAACAGAAGAAACGUUACCUCAAUCUCAGGGCUCUGACACACCUGUCGCGCGGGGUAGGCAGGUGCGUAGGAGUCCUGCGCGCACACGUGUGGGGAAUUUGGUAAAGGGUGGCUAGCAGCGCUAACAUGGUACUGUUAGAUGCUCGCUGGGAAAGCAGGCUCUGACCUGAGCCACCGGCGCCUUUGGGGGGAACACUGAUCUCCUGUCUCCCCUGUCAUCAGAGCAGGACUUUCAGGCUCAGAGAGGGUAAGCCACUGACUCAAAGGCAAAUAGCAGAAACCCACCUCCAGCGGGGGAACACCUGAGCCCGCCAUCCGCAAGCCCCUUUGAGAGUUCUGCAAAAUCGCACACUGUCCCUAGAGGCGUCUCUGCAUAGGCUGGUCUGCUCCACACGUCCAGGCUGUAUUGCGUGCUCAGCAUCCUCCUGUUUGGAAUCUGCCCUGAACCGUCCCUGACUCCCACUUCCACUUGCUUUUUUACCAUCGGUCCAGGAGCCAGCUUUCUUGGAAAGGUCCAUGGCACAGGACCCUGCUGGUUACUCUGCUCCUGGAAUGCUGCCUGCCCUCCCACAGUCAGGACCAUGGCUCCGGUCCAAGCUCUCUUACAACCGCAACGCGCCAGGGUGUCUCAACUUCCCGGCAAGUUUUAAAGUGGAAAGGGCUGGGAGAAAGGUGCGAUAGGGCUGGGCCGGCCUACCUUGCUCUCCAGUCUCCCAAUCAGCUCUGCCAACCGGCUGAUCUGGCCCUCCAGCCCCUCCUCCUUUGUCUGCCCUGUGGCUGAGAAAGAAAGAGACCUUGGCGGUGGGCAGGGCCAUCCUGAAGGGGCAGAGCCCCGACCUAGGUCCCCUUGGAGGGCCUUGAGUAAUCCUGCUUGCUCACCCACAGG